AGGCAUUAGGUGCCUUGAGGGUAGAGGCUGUACCAUCUUGCCUGUAGAAACAGCUCGAUUGUUUCUUAGCUGACUUCAGCUCUCCACCCUUUUCUCUGCACCACGGACCCCAGGUGACUGAGAGAAGUCAAGAGUGCUUGGUUAGAGCAGGGCUUGGUUUUCCCCAGCUGAACUUCCCAUUGUCCCCAUUUUACAAUACCUAACCCAGGGCUAGCAGCAGGGCGCAGAUUCUGGGACCCCGAUAGAUACACAGGGCAGCUUUCAGCAGCGAUUGGUUGUGUCUUAGGGCGGUAUCUUAACCUGGGCGUGAAUUUAACUUAGAUCUUGCAAAAUCUCCAGACAGCUACUUGUGUGACACAGCAGAGUGGGUCUCAGGUACCAUGGCCACAGGCAGGAGAGAGUCAGUGGGGCACGGUAUAUGGAAGUGCUGGGAGCGUCAUACUAAAGGGGAGCAGUCUGGGAAGUCUUCAGAAAGGAGGUCAGUCUAGGAGGACCUGAAAGGAUAGGUGAAGAGAUGGAGGGACCCAGGUAGGGAGAAGGCAGCGUGCUGGGCGAGGUACAGAGGAGAGAGGGCAGGAGGGCGAGAGGUUAGGAGCUGGCUGAUGGGGCUGUGGAUAUAGCAGUAAAGACUAGUGGUUAAGAUCAAGCUCUGGAGUCAACAGACCUGUGUUUGAGUCAUUAACUAACUAUGUGAUUUGGGAAAGUUACUUACCCUCCACAGGCCUGAGUUUUCUUAUCUGUGUAAUCCAGCUAAUGGUCGUUCCUUAGUAUUAGCAUUUUUAUGAGGAGUUAAUGAAUUAAUGCUUAUAAAAUACAUUUUAAACAGCCAAUAAAUCCUAGCCAAGGUUACUGCUAUUAUUGUAUUAUAAUUAUUAUUAUAAACCCAUACUUGGCAUUUGUUUUCCAGAAGAAUCUCAUUGCACCUCCAUUCGGGCCCUUCUUUCUCCUGCAUUUGCUCACCUGUGUUCAUGCAUCCAUCACAUAAUACUAGUAGUACAUAAUACCCAUAUAUUAUAUGUAAUAAUAAUAUAAGAAUAGCUAACAUUUAAAUUGCAUAUUCUAUGUGCCAAGCAUUGUACUAAGUACUUUACAUGUAUGAAACUCACUUAAUCCUCCCAAUAAUGCUAUGAAGUAGGUACUAGUAUCAUCCACAUUUUAUCAAGGAUGAAAUUGAGAUACAGAGAAGUUAAACAGCUUGCCCACGGUCACACAACUAGUAAGUGACAAAACUAGAAUUUUUGGUUCCAAGAAUCAGGUUCAGAACCCAGGUUCCUAACUACUUGGCUAUUGAACACCCUUGCUAUUUUCAAAGACUCUGGGAAAAAUGGAAGGACAAAAAUGUAAAUUAAACCCUGAUCCCACCCGCAGGGAGAGAGUAACCAGGAGGCGUGAUAAGACACAGUAAGAUCGUACCCACCCAAGGCAGUGUGAUCACAGCUGCCUGGAGGCCUAGCUGGAGCCCAUGUAGGCCUCUUGGCAUGCCUGGGUUGUCACUUGUGAUCAGCUUGGGUCAUCAGAUGAAUUCCCUGUUGUAGGCUCUCUAAAAAGACCCCAGUAACGGAGUGCAUUGCUGAUACCUUGUAGCCACAGUUGGUGCCCCCUGCCCCAUGGAAGGCUGGAGGAUAGAAUGUGUUGGGUGGGUAUAAACCCACCCACAACUGACUGAAAAUAUAACUCAAAGUACAGAGCCGAUAGAGCGCGGGUGGGGUCAUUUUCUCGCUGGGUCUUUGGGUCAGUCACUGGCUGGCCACCUAUUUUUUAGUUCUGUGUUCUGUACUGGAUAUUACACAGAAAGCAUGUUUUGUCUUUUUUUUUUCCCUCUUGAGCACACUUCUAAAAUCCCUAGGAUUAUUCCUCGUGGCCCUUCCCAGCUUCAAAAGGCUGAUGCUUAGUAUAAACGUUUACAAUGUGGGUGCAAAAAGGAUCCCAGAUAGUGGUCUCCUGAAGCUGACUCAUACCAGCUUGUAAGAACCAAUUGUUAAAUUUUCCAAGCCAAUUGUUAAACACAGCCAUUAUCAAAGACUGAAUUAUAGAAACUUACAAUUAAAUAAAUUAUAUUAAAAACAAAGGUAAUAAAUAUUCAAAACUCAUACUUCAUAAUUCCUUCCCCACACGGUAUGCUAUUGCAUACCCAACUCCGCACUCAGCAGCGUGACAUGGGCAGCUUGAAAGUGGCUAUGGGGGUAGUAUUUACACGACAGGAAGCAGCCAACACUACAAAGCAGCGCCCUCCUCGCCAAGCCCGUCGUCAACAUUUCUCUGCACACCCUCCUUAGAGAUAAUCAAAUCUUGUGAUUCUCACCGUGUUUCAGCCAAGGGCAUCCGCUGGGUGUGCCCGGUUGCCACCUGGAGGAGGAGGAGGUGAGAGCCGUGGGGCUCUGCCCCAAGCUAGGCCAGCAAUAGGGUUGGUUGUUUUCAAUAUGAACUUAUGUGUAAGAUUUUGUUUGAGUAAAGUUCUUUUCACAGUUAAAAACAAUUGCAAAUGACUAAUCCAGUCUAAUCUUCUUAUCUUACAGUAGGAAACGGAAUUUUUUACCCUUCAGACGCAGAACAGUAAAGUGACUGACCUGGUCCACUGCCUGAUAUGAAGGAGCUGACACUAUGGCCCCCACAGGAGGAGAGAGACUCCUGCAGACACUGGCUGGGGGCUUCCCUGGGCCCCGAGCCUCAGAGACCCUCUCCUUGCUCCUCUCAGAUAGUUCUGGAGGCUGGAAGUCCAAGAUGAAGGCAUGGGCAGGUUUGGUUUCUUCUGAGGCCUCUCUCCUUGUCUUGCAGGUGACCGCCUUCUCCCUGUGUGCUCACGGGGUCUUUCCUGUGAGUGCACAUGUCUGGUGUCUGUGUGUUCAAAUGUCCUUUUCUUACAAGGACACCGGUCAGACUGAAUGAGGGCCCAUCCUAAUGGCCUCAUUUUAACUUAAUCACCUCUUUAAACACAUCUCCAGGGGCCAGCCCGGUGGCACAGCGAUUAAGUUCGCAUGUUCUACUUCGGCGGCCCGGGGUUCACCGGUUCAGAUCCUGGGUGCAGACAUGGCACUGCUUGGCAAGCCAUGCUGUAGCAGGCGUCCCAUGUAUAGAGUAGAGGAAGAUGGGCAUGGAUCUUAGCUCAGGGCCAGUCUUCCUUAGCAAAAAGAAGAGGAUUGGCAGUAGAUGUUAGCUCAGGGCUAAUCUUCCUCAAAAAAAAAAAAAAUCUCCAAAUAUCGUUACAUUUUGAGGUCACUCAGAUGUCUGAGAAAAUUCAUACAUUGAAGUUAGGACUUCUACAUAUGACUUUUGGGGGAUACAAUUCAGCACAUAAAUAUUUAGGGACCAUUUAUCCUACACUACAUGAAUAGGACCUUGGCCACAUACUGGGAUAUUAACAGGGCCCCGUCAUUGAUCCUGAGAGGUUUUAUCAUGUGCACAAACUGACUGCCAUGCCUCAGGCUGAGAGCUCAUCAUGUGAUGUGCCUUUAACAACCUCACAUUGGCUUAAAGAAUUUUGAAUUUUGAAUUUUUAUCUCUUCUUCAAUUUGCCUUUUUCUUCUGUUUUUCCAAGAAUUUAUUUUCACAGUUGGGACAUCCUUAAAGGAUUUUCAAUGUGAGUGGAGCUACUGAUGACAUGCAGGCUGAGCAUGGCUGAAAGUAGGAGAGGAGAGAUCAUCGGUCAAGGGAGAGCAGGCAGGCGAAUGUCAAACUGUCCCCAUCUAGACCGUGGACUGAGUCCUUCCUCUUGGGCUGCGUCACCGUCCUUCCUUCUUUCCUGAAUCCAGUAGUGCUUGUCAGGCAUCUGAAAUGGCUGGGCAACUGCAAAUACGCAGGUGACUGAUGUUAUCAAGUCCCUGCCUUUAUGAGUUUAUAGUUCAACUGUGUUAACUAUUAAAGAAAACGACUGAAAUAAACACAAUCCUGCCUUACCAGCAGAGAGGAUCCUAAAGGGAUCAUGACCAGCAAGUCUCUUGUCUUCCUUCCUGUCUUCCCAUACACACACAUUCAAAUGAAUCCGAAAUACAAGUUUUAGGUGUCCAUCUAAUGACACCUGCCCCAACCACUUGAUGUUAAGAACCGAGGUGUGUUCUCCACAGCCCCAAGUGUCCUUUGCAUGAAGUGGAUACUCAGUAUAUACUCACUGAUUUGACCUGAAUCUCCAAGAGGAAAGAUAGUUUAACCAAAACCACUACAAUACUCAGAAAUGUCGUCGCUGUCAGAGAGCGGCAGGAGGAGAGGUUUGAUUACUUGAGGAAAAAAAGCCCAGUGGCUGUGGGAAAGUUGUCACCCUCCUUACCUCAAGGACAUCAGGGGUCUGUGCUCUUCUUCAAGUAAUGAGUUGGAGAAAAGGGGCUAGCGGAGAGUUCCACCUGAAUUUCCUGCCACCAUUUCAAGCUGUGGACUUGAAGAGCCUAUGACUUUGGUUAAUUGCCCUGUGGUCUGCUCUCUAUAAAUAGCAGCUUCUUCGUGGGUAACCCAGGGCUGCCUCUGAAAUUGCCAGACUUGGAAAUUACAUCAACCCAGUUCAAUAGGUACUUAUCGUGUAGCUCAAGAGAAGGGUGCUCUCAAACAGCUUAGAUGACAAGUAGGGAAGAACCCAGGAGUCUGGAGAGGUAGCUUAGAAGAAGGUUGGCCUUUGUGUUUUGAAGAUUUCUCUCUAAGAUCUAAGCACUGGACCCCAAAACAAAGGAUAAGUAGAACCCAGGUGCUAGGUGGGAAAAUAUAGGUCUAGAAAAGUGGAAUCCUUCUCAUUCCACACUGGUGAUUGAUUUGGUGAUUAGUCUAAUCCAAAUGUGGACUUGUGUUCCCUGGGCCGGUGACAGUUGUGGGUAGAGGCAUAUGACCCUGUAAGAAAUGAAAAUCGGGUGCAGGAAUGAGGGAAGGGGAGAAGGGGGAAGGUUUCUGGGAGAGGCUAAAACUGAUAAAAUGUUCCUCAAUCAUUGUUAUGUUUCAGAUAACAGAUACCACUUGAACAUUAAGCAGAAAAAGAUUUAAUUUAGGAAAUGAAGGGCUUAAAAAUUCAUGGAUGGGCUAGUAGAGCAGGUCCUAGGCUACGCCUCCAGCAGCAACCAGCGGAACACAGCAGAAAUGUCAGCUGGGGUGGCUGCUACUUGUGUCACAAGCAAGAAGCUGGGGGAAUCAGGAAGCCACCACAGUAAGUGUGGCUCCAGAACUACACCACUUUACCUACGUCCGGGGAUCAGGAAACUACCUCCAGGGCCAGAUCGUACCCACUUGAUCUGCCUGGGCAAAAAUGGAGGCUCUACUUCCUGCUUCUCUGCACUCAGGAAGCCAGUGACAGGGCACUGGGGCUUCUGCUGGUAGUGCAGCAAAAGCUCAGCGCCUGCAUGACCACGUUUGCCAGGAAACAGCAGAUGAAGCAGACCACAGCCUCUUAGAUUUCAAGAGGGUGUGUCCGAUGUGCACUCUUCCACAGGGGAGCAGCUCUGUUAGGACAACACUCCUGCCUCCCUCCGUCCCUUCACACACUCCUUCCCUGGGUGGGGGAGUGACACAUCUGACUGCCCUUUUCCCCAAAUCUAGGCCUAAUUUGGAUCCCAUGGUCUCCUGUGGUCCUAACCAUCUAGAAGUCAUGUUAUGAAGGGUCCUGCCAAGAAGAGAUGAGGUAAAAUGGUAACAGCUGCUAUUGCCCUACUGUGUCUUCCCUCCAAAUCUGUCAACAACGUGAACUUCUCAGCGGCCUCUUUAUACCAGGCAUUGUGCUUCAAGACUCAGCUCUGGCCCUUAAGAAGCUUAGGUUCCCGCUGAAGAGACAGGAUGUGUACACACGAAAAGAUAACAGCUUGAGACCAUGCCAAAUGAACCAGAGAUGACAAAGUCUUUGAAAUUUGGUGUGUAUUUUAUACUCACAGUGCAUCUCAUUUUGGACUAGCAACAUUUCAAGUGCUCAGUAGCCACAUCUGGCUAGUGGCUACUGUAUUGGACAGCACAGCCACGGGAAUAUAACCUGGGAAGGCCUGAUCUGGGGAGGCGUGUCAGGAUGGAACUCUGGACCUUGGUUGGACUCAGGGGCAGACACAUUGUCAGGUGAUGCUCAGGAAGCAUGGAAUCAGGCCGAGGAGUGAGCCUCAAGUGUCUCUCAGCUACCACAGCCAGGUGCAUCCCGGAGCCAGGAGCCUCAGGCAACCCUCUGUGGCUGCAACUAAAAACAAUUAUUUACACUUGCUCCCAGCUUGCCUGGGGCUAUGAUGAGAUAAUGGCUGUAAACGCUCCGCCUUUCCUGGGGAUGGGCAGCAUCACCAAAGAACCCUGCCUUGCCUCAAUGUCCGAAACUGUCUCCAGUGCUUCCAGAAGUUCUGAAGAGCGAAGCCAGCCUGCAGCCAGACUGAAUCCUGACUCUACUCGCUAGCUGAGAAUCUUGGAGAAGUUACUGAAUUUCUGUACCUCAGCGCACUCAUCUGUGAAAGUGAGACUGAUGAAAGUACCCUCUUUGUAGAGUGUUUGAGAAUUAAAUGAAAUAGUGUGUGUAAAGAUUUUGCAAAGUGCCUGGUACACCAUGAACACAGUAACUGGUGGUGAUGGUGGUUUUGAUCACGGAAGGCAUCAACUGGAGAUUUAAUAUUUACCGAUCUAUGAGUACUCAAUUUUAAACAUUUUAUAAUAAACAUUAAGUUUACAAAAAUGUUGAAAAAGUAAUACAACGAACACCUUUGUACACACCAUUUAGAUUCAAUGAUGCUUUGUCUAUGACUUUGCCAUUUUCUGCUGUUAUUUGUGCAGUUUCUUUGCUAUUGUGUGUGUAUAUAUUUCCCCUCAAUCAUUUGAAAGGAAGUUGCAAGCGUCAUGACACUUCAGCCUUAAAUACUCCGGUGUGCAGCUCCUCCAAUAAGGAGAUUCUCCUGCGUAACUACGAUACCAUUAAUACAUCUAAAACAACUGACAGUGACUUUUAAAUAUUAUCUAACAGGGCACUGACUUUCGAAGAGGCCAGGCCACCUGUCUUAUAGAAUGUCCCGCUUUCUGGAUUUGUCUUAUUGUUUCUUUGCAGUGCUGUUUUCAGUGAAAAGUUUGAAAAAAAUCUGGAGCCUGAACUGGACUCCUGGGUUGUCCCAAGGACAUAUAACCCUACUGCCCAUCGGUCUGAGGGAGGAAACCAAAAAGCAAGGCACACUCAGUUUUUUGAAACUCUGCACCUGUUAAACCCUAACUUCCCAUUAUCCCCUCCCCCCUAGCAACCACCAUUCUACUUUCUGUCUAUGAAUUUCACUUCUCUAAGAACCUUAUAUAAGAGGAAUCAUACAAUAUUUGUGUUUUUGUGACUGGCUUAUUUCACUUAGCUUAAUGUCUUUGAUACCAGCCCCAAUAUCGGUUCCCCCACAGUAAACCCAGCAUAUAUGGGGUUAAAACCAAAGCACUCAUUCCCUGCUUACUCUCUGGCUUCCCGGCUCUAGAAACCACUAUCCACCAUGGGGACAAACAGCCAAGGUCACCCACUUGCAAAUUCCCUUAUCAUCCUCCUCCCUGUGAGCAGCCUCCCAAGGCGGAAGGCAGGCUGGUGGGAAAGCUCUGACCAGUGAGGCCACAAACUCUCUGCCCCCCACCCCUCCCAAGUAGAAACAUUCCUUGCAACCUUUAAAACCCCUCACCUCCCAUCUUUUGGGGAGACAAGAAGAGACGAGAUGAAUUUGAGGACUCUCAUCUCCUGGCUG
Molecule: long non-coding RNA, 7634 nt
Organism: Equus caballus (horse)
Lineage: Eukaryota; Metazoa; Chordata; Mammalia; Perissodactyla; Equidae
Source: Ensembl